RNAcentral lists this ribosomal RNA (427 nucleotides) under uncultured bacterium. Its description in RNAcentral is "bacterial SSU rRNA". It matches the Rfam family "Bacterial small subunit ribosomal RNA", at positions 355 to 775 of the family's 1533-position model. The record is from RNAcentral.
UCGAGAAUUUUUCUCAAUGGGGGAAACCCUGAAGGAGCGACGCCGCGUGGAGGAUGAAGGUUUUCGGAUUGUAAACUCCUGUCAUCCGGGAGCAAUGCUGCGCGUUUAACUGACGCGUAGUUGAUAGUACCGGAAGAGGAAGAGACGGCUAACUCUGUGCCAGCAGCCGCGGUAAUACAGAGGUCUCAAGCGUUGUUCGGAUUUAUUGGGCGUAAAGGGUGCGCAGGCUGCAUGGUAAGUUUGGUGUGAAAUCCUGGGGCUUAACCCCAGAAUUGCACUGAAUACUGCCGUGCUAGAGGACUGGAGAGGAGAUUGGAAUUCACGGUGUAGCAGUGAAAUGCGUAGAUAUCGUGAGGAAGACCAGUGGCGAAGGCGAAUCUCUGGACAGUUCCUGACGCUCAUGCACGAAGGCCAGGGGAGCAAACGG